RNAcentral lists this ribosomal RNA (1410 nucleotides) under Enterococcus hirae. RNAcentral's name for it is "bacterial SSU rRNA". It matches the Rfam family "Bacterial small subunit ribosomal RNA". The record is from RNAcentral. Lineage: Bacteria; Bacillati; Bacillota; Bacilli; Lactobacillales; Enterococcaceae.
AGUCGAACGCCUCUUUUUCCACCGGAGCUUGCUCCAUCGGAAAAAGAGGAGUGGCGAACGGGUGAGUAACACGUGGGUAACCUGCCCAUCAGAAGGGGAUAACACUUGGAAACAGGUGCUAAUACCGUAUAACAAUCGAAACCGCAUGGUUUCGAUUUGAAAGGCGCUUUCGGGUGUCGCUGAUGGAUGGACCCGCGGUGCAUUAGCUAGUUGGUGAGGUAACGGCUCACCAAGGCGACGAUGCAUAGCCGACCUGAGAGGGUGAUCGGCCACAUUGGGACUGAGACACGGCCCAAACUCCUACGGGAGGCAGCAGUAGGGAAUCUUCGGCAAUGGACGAAAGUCUGACCGAGCAACGCCGCGUGAGUGAAGAAGGUUUUCGGAUCGUAAAACUCUGUUGUUAGAGAAGAACAAGGAUGAGAGUAACUGUUCAUCCCUUGACGGUAUCUAACCAGAAAGCCACGGCUAACUACGUGCCAGCAGCCGCGGUAAUACGUAGUGGCAAGCGUUGUCCGGAUUUAUUGGGCGUAAAGCGAGCGCAGGCGGUUUCUUAAGUCUGAUGUGAAAGCCCCCGGCUCAACCGGGGAGGGUCAUUGGAAACUGGGAGACUUGAGUGCAGAAGAGGAGAGUGGAAUUCCAUGUGUAGCGGUGAAAUGCGUAGAUAUAUGGAGGAACACCAGUGGCGAAGGCGGCUCUCUGGUCUGUAACUGACGCUGAGGCUCGAAAGCGUGGGGAGCAAACAGGAUUAGAUACCCUGGUAGUCCACGCCGUAAACGAUGAGUGCUAAGUGUUGGAGGGUUUCCGCCCUUCAGUGCUGCAGCUAACGCAUUAAGCACUCCGCCUGGGGAGUACGACCGCAAGGUUGAAACUCAAAGGAAUUGACGGGGGCCCGCACAAGCGGUGGAGCAUGUGGUUUAAUUCGAAGCAACGCGAAGAACCUUACCAGGUCUUGACAUCCUUUGACCACUCUAGAGAUAGAGCUUCCCCUUCGGGGGCAAAGUGACAGGUGGUGCAUGGUUGUCGUCAGCUCGUGUCGUGAGAUGUUGGGUUAAGUCCCGCAACGAGCGCAACCCUUAUUGUUAGUUGCCAUCAUUUAGUUGGGCACUCUAGCAAGACUGCCGGUGACAAACCGGAGGAAGGUGGGGAUGACGUCAAAUCAUCAUGCCCCUUAUGACCUGGGCUACACACGUGCUACAAUGGGAAGUACAACGAGUCGCAAAGUCGCGAGGCUAAGCUAAUCUCUUAAAGCUUCUCUCAGUUCGGAUUGUAGGCUGCAACUCGCCUACAUGAAGCCGGAAUCGCUAGUAAUCGCGGAUCAGCACGCCGCGGUGAAUACGUUCCCGGGCCUUGUACACACCGCCCGUCACACCACGAGAGUUUGUAACACCCGAAGUCGGUGAGGUAACCUUU